This 540-nucleotide ribosomal RNA is filed under the name uncultured bacterium. Its description in RNAcentral is "bacterial SSU rRNA". It matches the Rfam family "Bacterial small subunit ribosomal RNA", at positions 528 to 1074 of the family's 1533-position model. The record is from RNAcentral.
CAAUGCUCGAGCGUUAUCCGGAACAUUGGGCGUAAAGGGUGUGUANGCGGUUUCGUUAGUCUUCCGUUAAAUUCUUCGGCUCAACCGGGGGCAUGCGGAGGAAACGGCGAAACUUAGAGGACGGAAGAUGGNNNCUGGAACUCAUGGUGUAGCGGUGAAAUGCGUUGAUAUCAUGGGGAACACCGAAAGCGAAGGCAAGAAACUGGUCCGCUCCUGACGCUGAAACACGAAAGCGUGGGUCGCGAAUGGGAUUAGAUACCCCAGUAGUCCACGCCCUAAACGAUGAUCUCUAGCUUUGAGGAGUAUCGACCCUCUUCGAGGCUAAGCUAACGCGAUAAGAGAUCCGCCUGGGUAGUACGGCCGCAAGGUUGAAACUCAAAGGAAUAGACGGGGACUUGCACAAGCGGUGGAACAUGUGGUUCAAUUCGACGCUAAACGAAGAACUUACCAGGUUAGAAAUCCAUUCGAAACUGGCAGAAACUCAGUCGCCGCAAGCGGAUGGACCAGUGCUGCAUGCUGUCUCAUUUCGUGGUUUGACUG